AUUAUUGGGCGUAGAGGGCUCGCAGGCGGUUUCUUAAGUCUGAUGUGAAAGCCCCCGGCUCAACCGGGGAGGGUCAUUGGAAACUGGGGAACUUGAGUGCAGAAGAGGAGAGUGGAAUUCCACGUGUAGCGGUGAAAUGCGUAGAGAUGUGGAGGAACACCAGUGGCGAAGGCGACUCUCUGGUCUGUAACUGACGCUGAGGAGCGAAAGCGUGGGGAGCGAACAGGAUUAGAUACCCUGGUAGUCCACGCCGUAAACGAUGAGUGCUAAGUGUUAGGGGGUUUCCGCCCCUUAGUGCUGCAGCUAACGCAUUAAGCACUCCGCCUGGGGAGUACGGUCGCAAGACUGAAACUCAAAGGAAUUGACGGGGGCCCGCACAAGCGGUGGAGCAUGUGGUUUAAUUCGAAGCAACGCGAAGAACCUUACCAGGUCUUGACAUCCUCUGACAAUCCUAGAGAUAGGACGUCCCCUUCGGGGGCAGAGUGACAGGUGGUGCAUGGUUGUCGUCAGCUCGUGUCGUGAGAUGUUGGGUUAAGUCCCGCAACGAGCGCAACCCUUGAUCUUAGUUGCCAGCAUUCAGUUGGGCACUCUAAGGUGACUGCCGGUGACAAACCGGAGGAAGGUGGGGAUGACGUCAAAUCAUCAUGCCCCUUAUGACCUGGGCUACACACGUGCUACAAUGGACAGAACAAAGGGCAGCGAAACCGCGAGGUUAAGCCAAUCCCACAAAUCUGUUCUCAGUUCGGAUC
This 749-nucleotide ribosomal RNA is filed under the name Bacillus subtilis. Its description in RNAcentral is "bacterial SSU rRNA". It matches the Rfam family "Bacterial small subunit ribosomal RNA", at positions 550 to 1299 of the family's 1533-position model. The record is from RNAcentral. Lineage: Bacteria; Bacillati; Bacillota; Bacilli; Caryophanales; Bacillaceae.